GAUUAACGCUGGCGGCGUGCCUAAGACAUGCAAGUCGAACGGAGAAUUAGCAAUAGUUCUUAGUGGCGAAUGGGUGAGUAACGCGUUGGUGACCUGCCCCAAAGUGAGGGAUAACAACUCGAAAGGGUUGCUAAUACCCCAUGUAGUUUUCGGAAUUAGAAACCGAUUUCCAAAGGAGUAAUCCGCUUUGGGAGGGGCCUGCGUCCCAUCAGCUAGUUGGUAGGGUAAUGGCCUACCAAGGCGAUGACGGGUAGGGGGCCUGAGAGGGUGGCCCCCCACAUUGGCACUGAAACACGGGCCAAACACCUACGGGAGGCUG
This 319-nucleotide ribosomal RNA is filed under the name uncultured Chloroflexota bacterium. Its description in RNAcentral is "bacterial SSU rRNA". It matches the Rfam family "Bacterial small subunit ribosomal RNA", at positions 28 to 351 of the family's 1533-position model. Lineage: Bacteria; Bacillati; Chloroflexota. The record is from RNAcentral.